AGUUUCACUGUAUUGCUGGCCAAUUAGGUUCAACACAGUGCCUUCUGAUAUUUCCUACAAAUAUGAGCUUGGUGAAUAAAGAAUUGGCUUUCUGCAUGAAGAAAAUGGAGCCUGGGCUGAUUUAUUCCAACAGAAGGUGUCCCCAAAGACGUGAUCGACUCGAGAUUAACAGCCUGUCACAAAAGGAGGAGGUGAAACCAGCCAAGCCGACCGCGGGACGGGAUUUAGAGACGGAAUAAACAAAGAUGUGAAAGGGAGAUUGCAGCCAGCACAGGAACAGCGCAGCACUGGCCACAGGAUCAGCACGGAUAGAAAUUCAAGGAGCGGAUAUGCAAAGGAGCAAAAGGGAUAUGCAAAGGAGGAAAAGGGAUAUGGAAAGGAGCAAAAGGGAUAUGGAAAGCAGCAAAAGGGGUAUGGAAAGGAGCAAAAGGGAUAUGGAAAGCAGCAAAAGGGAUAUGCAAAGCAGCAAAAGGGAUAUGCAAAGGAGCAAAAGGUUACGGCUACGGUCAGCAGCGGGAUCGGUGUGCAACCAGCAAAGACAAGAGGCGGUGAAGCAGAGCCAGGGAAGGGGCAGAAGGUGUGGAAUGCACAGAAAUGAACACAACAGCUGGGAGAAAAUGAAACACAAAGCAGUGCGAACAGAACCGCGAACUGCAAACGCCGUCCUGGACCGCGGAGGAUGCGCAGCCCAAAGAGCCGCAAAAGAGUUCCAAGAAAAGAUACCUGAGCUUCAUUGAAACCUUGCUCCAAACUGCUAAUCUGGUGGUUUGCCCCAGUUAUUAUCACAGAAGCACUCCAGCAAUUUGCUGUGUUUGAAGCAUCUCAAUCCUGAAGGACAUUUCAGAGGGAUCCAGCUACUGCAUGGUUCGAUUAUUCUUUAACCCCAAGGCCUUUACUCAUAACCGCUAUUUUUAGGAACCUUGUUUUAAAAUGUAUUUAAGGAAUUCAUUCCCAGUUGGAGCCUGAGUGAUGGCCAGGCCUUGGCUCUACCUGGAUGGAGAAUUUGCCAACAAACCCAAAUGUUUUCUGCAUCAAAACCAGAUUCAGGUCACUUUGACUUGAAAAUUUGACCCUUUAUAUAUGAUAGCUGAACCUAUUUUUAAAGUAAGCUUGGGAAUUAUUAUCUGGAAAUAAUUAUCCAAGCCCUCACUAAAUUGAGGUUUGUCAUCUGUUUGCAGAUUCUGGGAUGAUGGUACAGUAUUUCAGAGACUCCUAAUUACCUAAUUUCACAUGUAUUAUUAAUUAUGUGUAUUAUCUGAAAUAUUCUUAAUUGUUCUACCUGAAUUAUUCUUGAUUACUGUCAGUUUCUUGUUCACUACAUGUAUUGUUUUGCCUUGAUGUUUCUUCAUGCAAAUGAGAAGUAGAUUUAACACAACACAAUCUAUUCUGAUGGUGAAAAACAAAUGCACCUGUGUAAACAAUGAAAUUUGUCCCAUGAGAACUCACAAAGGAAAAGUGUAAACAUAUCUAGAGAGAGAAAAUUUGAUAGAAUUUUGCAAUAUGAAUGAACUGAAUUUCACUGUAUUGCUCAGCAAUUAGGUUUAACACAGUGCCUUCUGAUAUUUCCUACAAAUAUGAGCUUGUUGAAUAAAGAAUUGGCUUUCUGCAAGAA
Zonotrichia albicollis (white-throated sparrow) is the source of this 1612-nucleotide non-coding RNA. The record is from RefSeq and is a predicted model, not a curated record. NCBI's taxonomy places the organism in Eukaryota, Metazoa, Chordata, Aves, Passeriformes, Passerellidae.